UGGGGAAUAUUGGACAAUGGGCGCAAGCCUGAUCCAGCCAUGCCGCGUGAGUGAUGAAGGCCUUAGGGUUGUAAAGCUCUUUCGCCGACGAAGAUAAUGACGGUAGUCGGAGAAGAAGCCCCGGCUAACUUCGUGCCAGCAGCCGCGGUAAUACGAGGGGGCUAGCGUUGUUCGGAAUCACUGGGCGUAAAGCGCACGUAGGCGGAUUGUUAAGUCAGGGGUGAAAGCCUGGAGCUCAACUCCAGAACUGCCCUUGAUACUGGCAAUCUCGAGUCCGGAAGAGGUAAGUGGAACUGCGAGUGUAGAGGUGAAAUUCGUAGAUAUUCGCAAGAACACCAGUGGCGAAGGCGGCUUACUGGUCCGGUACUGACGCUGAGGUGCGAAAAGCGUGGGGAGCAAAACAGGAUUAGAUACCCUGGUAGUCCACGCCGUAAAACGAUGGAGGCUAGCCGUUGGCGAGCAUGCUCGUCAGUGGCGCAGCUAACGCAUUAAGCCUCCCGCCUGGGGAGUACGGUCGCAAGAUUAAAAACUC
This 532-nucleotide ribosomal RNA is filed under the name uncultured bacterium. Its description in RNAcentral is "partial 16S ribosomal RNA". It matches the Rfam family "Bacterial small subunit ribosomal RNA", at positions 355 to 902 of the family's 1533-position model. The record is from RNAcentral.